AGAGUUUGAUCAUGGCUCAGAACGAACGUUGGCGGCGUGGAUCAGGCAUGCAAGUCGAACGAAUCCCACCUGGGUAACUGGGUGGGGGAAGUGGCGAAAGGGGCAGUAAGGCAUGGGUAACCUGCCCCGGACUUCGGAAUAGCCUUCCUAACGGAAGGGUAAUACUGAAUACCGUGACAUGUGGGCAUCCACGAGUCACGAAAGCUUCGGCGGUCCGGGAGGGGCUCAUGUGGUAUUAUGCUGGUUGGUGGGGUAACGGCCUACCAAGGCGAAGAUGCCUAGCGGGUGUGAGAGCACGACCCGCGCCACUGGCACUGGGACACUGGCCAGACUCCUACGGGAGGCAGCAGUGGGGAAUGUUCCGCAAUGGGCGCAAGCCUGACGGAGCAACGCCGCGUGGGUGAUGAAGGCCCGUGGGUCGUAAAGCCCUUUUGUCAGGGACGAACAAGAUGACGGUACCUGACGAAUCAGCAUCGGCUAACUCCGUGCCAGCCGCCGCGGUAAUAC
This 507-nucleotide ribosomal RNA is filed under the name uncultured bacterium. Its description in RNAcentral is "bacterial SSU rRNA". It matches the Rfam family "Bacterial small subunit ribosomal RNA", at positions 8 to 526 of the family's 1533-position model. The record is from RNAcentral.